AUUCAUAUAAAAUUGCAAAUUCGAUUAUUGAAACUCCGAAAAUGUAUCUCAUACAAUUUUACAUCCUAAUGAUCAUUAUACAUUUUCAUUUUAAACAAUUAUUAUUGAAACUUCGAAUUUAUUAUAUUCAUAAUGUCAUUCUACAUAAAUAUCUCUAUUACUAAAAUUUAUGCAUAUAUUAUUACUCGACAUAUCGAUUUCGACAUAUUUGAUUUUAUUUAUAGCAGCAAUAAAAAGUAGGUCAAGUCAGGUUAAAAUCCUGCCAGAAAGGUGAGUUAGGUUAGAACUGCGACCCUCACAGAACCGAAAUGCUGCCAGAAUGGUGGGUUAGGUUAGGUUAGAGCUGCGACCCUCACAGAACCGAAAUGCUGCCAGAAUAGUGGGUUAGGUUAGGUUAGAACUGUGACUCUCACAGAACC
Long non-coding RNA from Cydia splendana, 419 nucleotides. RefSeq lists it as uncharacterized. The transcript has 3 exons. Lineage: Eukaryota; Metazoa; Arthropoda; Insecta; Lepidoptera; Tortricidae. The record is from RefSeq and is a predicted model, not a curated record.